AUGGUGGGCGUGGGCGUCGGGACGGGGGCGCUGGGCUCCGUCAUCGGCAAGCUCGCCACCCUGCUGGGCGACGAGUACAAGAUGCUCAAGCGGGUCCGCAAGGACAUCGCCUUCCUCGAGCGCGAGCUCCGCCGGAUGCAGAUCCUGGUCAACGUGCUCGCGGACAUGGAGGGGCUCGACGAGGUGGCCAAGGAUUGGAAGGCCAGCAUGCGCGAAAUCAGCUACGACAUGGAGGAGUGCAUCAACCGCUUCAUGCUCCGUCUCGGGAACGGCGACGCCAAGCCUGGGUUCAGGAAGAAGACCGUGCGCCGGCUCAAGACGCUCUUUGAGCGCCAUGGAAUCGGCACCCAGAUCAAGGAGCUCAAGGCCCGUGUCGCCGAGGAGGACGAACGGCGGCAGAGGCUGAACCUCGACAACUACGCCCCAGCGACGAACGUGGCGAUAGAUCCCCGACUAGCUGCGUUUCACAGGGUGGCCAUUGACGGCCCUAGGGAUCAAAUUACCUCUUGGUUGACAGAGGAAAGUGUGGACCUGAAGCUGGUGGCCAUUGCUGGAGGUGGAGGGCUCGGAAAGACUACUCUUGCCAUAGAGACCUAUCGCACGAUUGGAGAGCAAUUCCAGUGCCGAGCUUCGGUGUCGGUGUCGGGCACCCUUGAUCCCGACAAGUUCUUGGAAGAUAUCCUGUCUCAAAUCGACGAAGCUGCAUCCAGUAAAUACCAGUUGGAGAGGUGGAAGAAAGACGAGCUAAUCCGUGAGAUCCAAAGAAUCUUGACAGGAAAGAGGUAUAUUUUCUUCAUACAGACAUGUUACUAG
RNAcentral lists this ribosomal RNA (813 nucleotides) under Triticum aestivum (bread wheat). RNAcentral's name for it is "partial small subunit ribosomal RNA". The record is from RNAcentral. Lineage: Eukaryota; Viridiplantae; Streptophyta; Magnoliopsida; Poales; Poaceae.